GGAAGAGAAAGCUGGAAUCCAUCCCCGGCGGCAGCACGGCACUGCCCAGAACAGGGCCGUCCCCUUGGCCGACCUUUGAUGCCCGUGUCAGAUCACCUCCUAGCACCCACAAGGGCUUCGGAGAGGCUGGGAACCCAGGGACGUGAGGAGAAGAAGCGGAAUGGGGCCUCCCUGAACAUCCUGCAGGACAGAGAUGAGGAUGCUGACCCCGUGGGGCACGGAGAGAAGCCCAGUGUCCCCCCAGCACACAGGCACGCGGACCUCGGCCCUAGCUGCC
Molecule: long non-coding RNA, 277 nt
Organism: Eubalaena glacialis (North Atlantic right whale)
Lineage: Eukaryota; Metazoa; Chordata; Mammalia; Artiodactyla; Balaenidae
Exons: 3
Source: RefSeq, a predicted model, not a curated record